UACGUAGGGGGCAAGCGUUGUCUGGAUUUAUUGGGCGUAAAGAGCGUGUAGGCGGCCAGGUAGGUCAGCUGUGAAAACUCGAGGCUCAACCUCGAGACGUCGGUUGAAACCACCUGGCUAGAGUCCGGAAGAGGAGAGUGGAAUUCCUGGUGUAGCGGUGAAAUGCGCAGAUAUCAGGAGGAACACCAAUGGCGAAGGCAGAUCUCUGGGCCGUAACUGACGCUGAGGAGCGAAAGCAUGGGGAGCGAACAGG
RNAcentral lists this ribosomal RNA (253 nucleotides) under uncultured bacterium. RNAcentral describes it as "partial 16S ribosomal RNA". It matches the Rfam family "Bacterial small subunit ribosomal RNA", at positions 524 to 776 of the family's 1533-position model. The record is from RNAcentral.